UACGGGGGGAGCAAGCGUUGUUCGGAUUUACUGGGCGUAAAGGGCGCGUAGGCGGCGCGACAAGUCACUUGUGAAAUCUCCGGGCUUAACUCGGAGCGGCCAAGUGAUACUGUCGUGCUAGAGUGCGGAAGGGGCAACUGGAAUUCUCGGUGUAGCGGUGAAAUGCGUAGAUAUCGGGAGGAACACCAGUGGCGAAGGCGACUUCCUGGCCUGUUCUUGACGCUGAGGCGCGAAAGCUAGGGGAGCAAACGGG
This 253-nucleotide ribosomal RNA is filed under the name uncultured bacterium. RNAcentral describes it as "partial 16S ribosomal RNA". It matches the Rfam family "Bacterial small subunit ribosomal RNA", at positions 524 to 776 of the family's 1533-position model. The record is from RNAcentral.